AGACUCGCCGGGACCCCACGGGCGGCCCUCACCCCACACCCCUCGGCGCCUCUCCCGGUUCCGGAGCCGGACGCGGCCCCUCCCCCCGCGGCUCUCACCAGGCCCGGCCUGGGCCGCGGGGCGGGAUCGGUCUCCGGGGGCGCACGGCCGCACAGCAGGCCGGAGGCACAGCCGGCGAGAGACGGCCACUCGCUUUGGAGCGGCGGCGAGGCCGGCGCCUUCCCGGGCACCAGGGACUGCGUGGCUUGGCCGGAAAUCAGGCUAGAAGCAGCUCCGGGAAGCACAGCCCUUAGCCCAGCGCCUUCCCACACUGUGGCAGGAAUAGCACUGGCGGCCCACGCGCUUGUCAGGGAACAGAACAGCUCUCGCCCGACGCCUGGCAGGGGAGCAGGGAGGCUGCAGCUUCCCCAGCGACCAGCUGUUUCCCAGGCUGGCGGACUCCACGGACCGGCUCCGCGUCUCCUCUCCAGCCUUCUGUUCUCUCUAGAGGAAGAUCUGCGUUUUGUCUGCACUGUGGGCCGACUCUCUAGUGGGGAGCGUCAGACCCUCUAAAGUGGCUGCCUCUCGGGAAAGCUUCCACACCUGUCAUCAGAUUCUCCAAAGGGGCUGUUUGAUGCAAGAAACGGGAAGCCCCGGGGGUACUAGGAGCAGGGCUUGCUGCCAUUGGGCAUGGUGAGGCCCCGGCACCCUGCCCAGGACGGGCCUGUGGGCUGAGCUGCAGAUGGGCAUUGAGGAUGCCCCAACAGCAAGGUGCAGAAGGCAUCCAGAAGCAAAGGAAACUGAUGACCAGCGUCAAAAACAAACAAAAAAAGGGAACUUGGCUCGGCGGUGGCUCACGCCUGUAGUCCCAGCACUUUGGGAGGCAGAGACAGGUGGAUCACGAGGUCAGAAGUCCAAGACCAGCCUGGCCAACAUGGUGAAAUCCCGUCUCUACUAAAAAUACAAAAAUUAUCCAGGCGUGGUGGUGUGUGCCUGUAAUCCUAGCUACUCGGGAGGCUGAGGCAGAAGAAUCGCUUGAACCCGGGAGGUGGAGCCUACAGUGAGUCAACAUGAAGCCAGUGCACGCCAGCCUGGGCGACAGACUCUGUGUUUGUGUGUGUGUGGGGGGGGGAGGGCGGGGCGAGGCGAAGGGAACUUGAGGUUUAAAGCAGGGGGAGGAGGGCCGGAAAUGCUCCCCGCCGCCCCCGACACUCACUCGCCCCAGGCCCCAUCCUAGCCCAGGGUCAGUGUCAUUCCCUUCACCUUAGCCUCUCACUGCCCAAAGAGGCUUACUUUUCUUCUUUAAACUGCUGUUAAAAUUUGGGAGGAAACGGAAAGCAAGGGCACCUGAUGGUUCAGUGCAGCUUCAGAUUUGCACCCCCUGGCUCACACUCGCUGGCGCCAGCCAGCAUGGCAGGGAUGGGCGGGGCUGGUUCUUAGGUUUCCUGCUCUUUGGGUGCUAGCACCCAGGGUAAGGAGACACCCAUGUCCGGUUGCAAGACAAACCCUUCUACCUCCUUUCCUGCCAAAGGCCACCAGCAUCCUCUGCCUCAAUCUCAAUCUUUGGAACUUUUUAGCUCCAAAGUGGUUUGAUGACCACAGGCUAAAAUUCAUAGUCUUAAAAUUUUAGAUAGUUAAGAGACAGAUCUGUUACAGGUUUUCAAAUAAACUGGUCUAUCUAGUGUAAGAGGUCACUGCUGAGCUUCAGUGAGCACCCAUGGGCCUGCUCUUGGAUGGUGGGACAGCUCUCACCUGGGGCAGCACGGCCAUCCCUGCAAGCACACACACCAGGAAGCAGCCUGUAGCCCCUGAGCUGACGCAGACACAAUGCCAUUCUCCAGCAGCGUCUCUGAAAAUUUUAAUUUGUUCUGACAACGAAACUAACACAGCAUAAGGACUUAAGCCCUCAAGCUAGGCAAGACACUG
RNAcentral lists this long non-coding RNA (1905 nucleotides) under Homo sapiens (human). RNAcentral's name for it is "non-protein coding lnc-MAP3K3-2:3". Lineage: Eukaryota; Metazoa; Chordata; Mammalia; Primates; Hominidae. The record is from RNAcentral.